AGCUUUGUGUAGUGGCAAUAUUGUAGCCAGUGAGGUUUAUCUGAGGCGCAAUUAUAGCUAAUUGAAAAAAAAAAAGAAUAUUCAAAGUACAAUCUUGAAAUAUAAUUCUGCAUGUGAUAGAACA
RNAcentral lists this small nuclear RNA (124 nucleotides) under Echinops telfairi (small Madagascar hedgehog). RNAcentral's name for it is "U4 spliceosomal RNA (ENSETEG00000021966.1)". It matches the Rfam family "U4 spliceosomal RNA". From Rfam's summary of the family: U4 small nuclear RNA (U4 snRNA) is a component of the major U2-dependent spliceosome. The structure of U4 snRNA from yeast and human has been reported. U4 snRNA presents a k-turn RNA motif in the 5p-SL related to recognition of Snu13 protein. The record is from RNAcentral. Lineage: Eukaryota; Metazoa; Chordata; Mammalia; Afrosoricida; Tenrecidae.